Molecule: long non-coding RNA, 11250 nt
Organism: Neoarius graeffei (lesser salmon catfish)
Lineage: Eukaryota; Metazoa; Chordata; Actinopteri; Siluriformes; Ariidae
Exons: 4
Source: RefSeq, a predicted model, not a curated record
AGAGAAGCAGGAAAUGUUUUGUUUUGGAUGCCGCUGCAGUAACGUGUAAUAAAACACAAGUUUAUUCAACGCACCUCAUCUGUUCAUCACCUAGAAUAGAACAGCAGUACUCUCUCUCUGGAUUGAUGUCAUCCUACAGUCUCUCCUCGAGCAAGGCAUGGACUCUGUGGUCUGUGUGUUCUGGUAUCUGCUGAGUCACCAGAAAUCUGCCAAGAUGCUUCCUUACGCCUGUUCCAACAUCUGGCACACAAGGGCUUUAAGGUUUCCAGGACCAAGCUGCAAUAUUGCAUGGACACUUAAGUAUUUGAACUUUUGAAGUCUUGAAUUUUCUCAAGGCUGUCAUCUGAUCGGGUGCAGGUGCUUCUAGACACAAAACGCCCUGCAACUAAACAUGCACUGAUGUCUUUUCUGGAUCUUAUCAAUUACUGCAGAUAAUGGAUCUCUGACUGCUCUUUAUAUGACAAGAUUCUCCGUUCUGCAAUCUCUCGUCACAAUCCACUGCAACAUCCUUUGACCUGGACUGAUGCUAUGAUGGACGCUUACCACUCCCUCAAAAGCGCCCUUUGUUCUGCCCCUGGGGUUACCUGAUUGAAGCCAAGCCCUUCCACCUCUAUGCCUAUGAACACCGAGGCACAGCCUCUGCGGACCGGGAGCAUGUGUCCUUGUGCGGGUUUUUAUCUAAAACAUUAGACAAUGUUGCUCAGGGCUUACUUGCGUGUCUAAGGGCUGUCUCCACAUGUGCUUUGAUGGUUUUAGAUGCGAAAAGAAAUUGAUUUUGUCUCACCCACUGAUCUUUCACUCGUCACAUCAAGUUAAACAGGUGUUGCAAAAUUUACAGACCCAACAUAUGACUGUUCAUUCUCUGUUCUACUAACAAUUUCGAAAUUCGUGCCACAUCCUCUUUUGAUACUGUAGGUCACGCUCUCGCACGCCUCCUUAAUUCUCGGGAUGACACUGAUUAUCUGUCUGAAAUUGUACAUACUACCAGUAUCAGGUCUGAUCUCUCCUCCAGCCCUCUAGGGAUGGGGGGGGGGGGGGGGGGAGUACUCUUUGUUGAUGGUUUUUGUUCUAAACCCUCAGACAGUGUAUAAUAUUUAUAAUUUAUCAUAUUUAUAAUACCUCUGUGGUUACUCUGUGUGUUCACUGCCUGAUAUUGUGCAUGAGCCAUACGCUCUUCCUUUCUCAUUUGAUUUUUGUCAUCUUGAUUGUGGACAAAUUCUCUAAAUGGGUAGAAGUUUUUUCCUGUUCUCGAGAGAACAUGAAGGUAGUUACUCGUAUUCUGGCAAAAGAAAUAAUACCAAGUUAUAAUAAUACAACCCCGAUUCCAAAAAAGUUGGGACAAAGUACAAAUUGUAAAUAAAAACGGAAUGCAAUAAUUUACAAAUCUCAAAAACUGAUAUUGUAUUCACAAUAGAACAUAGACAACAUAUCAAAUGUCGAAAGUGAGACAUUUUGAAAUUUCAUGCCAAAUAUUGGCUCAUUUGAAAUUUCAUGACAGCAACACAUCUCAAAAAAGUUGGGACAGGGGCAAUAAGAGGCUGGAAAAGUUAAAGGUACAAAAAAGGAACAGCUGGAGGACCAAAUUGCAACUCAGGUCAAUUGGCAAUAGGUCAUUAACAUGACUGGGUAUAAAAAGAGCAUCUUGGAGUGGCAGCGGCUCUCAGAAGUAAAGAUGGGAAGAGGAUCACCAAUCCCCCUAAUUCUGCGCCGACAAAUAGUGGAGCAAUAUCAGAAAGGAGUUCGACAGUGUAAAAUUGCAAAGAGUUUGAACAUAUCAUCAUCUACAGUGCAUAUCAUCAUCAAAAGAUUCAGAGAAUCUGGAAGAAUCUCUGUGCGUAAGGGUCAAGGCCGGAAAACCAUACUGGGUGCCCGUGAUCUUCGGGCCCUUAGACGGCACUGUAUCACAUACAGGCAUGCUUCUGUAUUGGAAAUCACAAAAUGGCCUCAGGAAUAUUUCCAGAGAACAUUAUCUGUGAACACAAUUCACCGUGCCAUCCGCCGUUGCCAGCUAAAACUCUCUAUAGUUCAAAGAAGAAGCCGUAUCUUAAACAUGAUCCAGAAGCGCAGACGUCUUCUCUGGGCCAAGGCUCAUUUAAAAUGGACUGUGGUCAGACGAAUCAAAAUUUGAAGUUCUUUAUGGAAAUCAGGGACGCCGUGUCAUUCGGACUAAAGAGGAGAAGGACGACCCAAGUUGUCAUCAGCGCUCAGUUCAGAAGCCUGCAUCUCUGAUGGUAUGGGGUUGCAUUAGUGCGUGUGGCAUGGGCAGCUUACACAUCUGGAACGACACCAUCAAUGCUGAAAGGCAUAUCCAGGUUCUAGAGCAACAUAUGCUCCCAUCCAGACAACGUCUCUUUCAGGGAAGACCUUGCAUUUUCCAACAUGACAAUGCCAAACCACAUACUGCAUCAAUUACAGCAUCAUGGCUGCGUAGAAGAAGGGUUCGGGUACUGAACUGGCCAGCCUGCAGUCCAGAUCUUUCACCCAUAGAAAACAUCUGGCGCGUCAUAAAAUGGAAGAUAUGACAAAAAAGACCUAAGACAGUCGAGCAACUAGAAUCCUACAUUAGACAAGAAUGGGUUAACAUUCCUAUCCCUAAACUUGAGCAACUUGUCUCCUCAGUCCCCAGACGUUUACAGACUGUUGUAAAGAGAAAAGGGGAUGUCUCACAGUGGUAAACAUGGCCUUGUCCCAACUUUUUUGAGAUGUGGUGUCAUGAAAUUUAAAAUCACCUAAUUUUUCUCUUUAAAUGAUACAUUUUCUCAGUUUAAACAUUUGAUAUGUCAUCUAUGUUCUAUUCUGAAUAAAAUAUUGAAUUUUAUAACUUCCACAUCAUUGCAUUCCGUUUUUAUUUACAAUUUGUACUUUGUCCCAACUUUUUUGGAAUCGGGGUUGUAAUAAUAAUAAUAAUACAUUUUAUUUAUAAGCGUCUUUCAAGGUACCCAAGGACACUGAACAGUAAAAAAAAAACACAAACAAUAAAAGCAGAACAAUAAAAUAAUAAGAAAUCAAUAAUUGUUAUAGUUAUGGGGUUCUAGAUGCCAUUGACUCAAAGGUACCCCUUUUACCUCGAAAGUCACACAAAACCUUUGUAAGUAUCUCUCACUAAACUGGUGUUUUCACAUUCCGUACCACCCUCAAUCCUCUGGUAUCGUAGAACGUACUAAUCGAACAUUGAAAGACAAAUUAAUUAAGGCCAUGUAGGCCACAGGUUCGAAAAAAAUUGGCUCUGUAAUCCGUAAUUCACUCUGGCUGAAAUUUGUAUGAAAAGCCUAGCCUAGGGGAUACUCCCCCUAUGAAAUUAUUUUUGGAAGACCUUUCCCUCUCCCCUGGAAGAAGGGAACUCCGUCUCUGGGUACCUCUGAUUUGAAAACACAUAUGGAUGAAUAUUCUGCAGCCCUUAUAGAUAAGUUGCAUAAAAUUUGUACCAAGGUCAAUAGUACAAUAUCGUCUCCACCAGCAGCACCCACACACCCCUUUCACGUGGGAGACAAGGUGCUGGUGUGACUCUUUAAACGAUUUGGACAAUUGGGAGAACCUAUAUAUAGUGGGCCUGCAGACAUAGUCACCAUUACUUUUACUGCUGUUUUAACUGAUCUUUUUCCACAGUGGAUCCAUGCCACACGAUUGAAGAAGGCUCCAUAACAAAGUUGUGUUACAAUGACAAGUUUGCUACUAACGUUUUCUCUGUGUCCCUAUCCAGUCUCUGUUCUGUCUCUCUAUCUCUGAGCUCUACACAGAUUCAACGUGACCUGUGUGCAGCCCUGGCUGACUGAGAAUCCUCAGAUUACCUGCAAGACGUUGUGAACAAAGAGGGGAUCUCGCGCCCUGUCUGGGACCAAUCACCCUCACUACAACCAUGGGAGUCCUCAUCACGAGCUUCGUGACCACUCUACUGCUGCUCGGAGCAGGGUUACCCGCUUGAGCUGGACCUCGAGACAACAUCUUUUGGCAAUUCGCUAACUGGACUGCACGAACGCACAUGAAUGAAAGUUAUGUCUGUCAUCUGAUGCCGUUUUCUACUAUUAUUACACGUCUCUAUGCUCUGAAGCUUUGUAUUCUUACAGGACACUGUUCUCACUAUAGGUCAAUAUGCUAUAAUUUCAUUUUCCCUCACUGUUUUAGAAUAAAUUACUCUGAAGGAAGUAGCAUGUAUUUGGGACAAAUUAAGAGGUUUCGAGUUUCUCUAAGCUCCGGUGAGGUGGGAUGAGGGCUGAUUAGGGCAUGCCCGCCCUCUGAGCACCAAUACAUAUCAAGAAGAGCAAGGAUUAACUCAAGCAUACAUCUAAUCCUAAUUCUCGAUGUAAUCACACAUAAUGAUCAGAAUACUGGGGUGUGAUACUAUUAUCAAAGAGGGGAUUGUUAGGAUUUAUUCCUUUGUAAGGAUAAAUAAUUGUAAGGAUUUAUUCUUAUUAUUGUUAAGUAUUUAUUCAUAAUACUCUAUCCUAUUUUACUAUUUCAGCUAGAAGGCAUUGAAUUCUUCUGUGACCUUCUGUCUAGAACAUCUUGCUUGAGACAUAAUAUUGAUAUCUUUUUGAAUGUUCUGCCCUUUGCUAUCUCUGACCUAAGGUUGUGCGUAAGAAAUGGCCUUUGAUAUCUGUAUCAUAUCAUAAGAACAUCUUAUUAUUGUAUACCAUCGUCAAGGUUUCACUACAGUCUCUGAACCAUGUCACAUGUCACUCUGAAGCAAUGAUGUCAUAUAUACACACACACACAGCACCAAGGUCUUCAGUGAUGUCACUUCAUCCACACAGAUAACACCCACAUAUAAAAUCCCCUGAAUUCUCCUGUCUCAUGGGGGACUUGUGAAUAAACAUUGCGAACUACUUUGUGGGGUUCCUGUCUUUCUUCCGCGACUCACCCCCAGACAUCUGGGUGACAUGGGGGGACUGAUCUCGAGAUGGGGUAAUCGCUCUCUGGAGACUGAGGGCAAGAGGUGAAGAAACCUUUCAGUCGGCCUCGAAGAAAUUCUGGCAAACCGUCCGGCGCCUCAGGAGGGGGAAGCAGUACUCUGCCAACACUGUUUACAGUGCGGGUGGGGAGCUGUUGACCUCGACUGGGGAUAUUGUCGGGUGGUGGAAGGAAUACUUUGAGGAUCUCCUCAAUCCCACCAUCACAUCUUCCAUUGAGGAAGUGGAGGCUGAUGACUCAGAGGUGGACUCAUCCAUUACCCAAGCCGAAGUCACUGAGGUGGUUUGCAAGCUCCUCGGUGGCAAGGCACCGGGGGUGGAUGAGAUCCACCCUGAGCAUCUCAAGUCUCUGGAUGUUGUGGGGCUGUCUUGGCUGACACGCCUCUGCAACAUUGCGUGGCGGUUGGGGACAGUGCCUCUGGAGUGGCAGACCGGGGUGGUGGUCCCUCUUUUUAAGAAAGGGGACCGGAGAGUGUGCUCCAAUUAUCGGGGAAUCGCACUCUCAGCCUUCCCAGAAAGGUUUACUCCAGGGUACUGGAGAGGAGAAUUCAGCUGAUAGUCAAACCUCGGAUCAAGGAGGAACAAUGCGGUUUUCAUCCUGGUCAUGGAACACUGGACCAACUCUAUACCCUUCAUAGGGUGAUCGAGGGUUCAUGGGAGUUUGCCCAACCAGUCCACAUGUGCUUUGUGGAUCUGGAGAAGGCAUUCGACCGUGUCCCUCAUGGUAUUCUGUGGGGGGUGCUUCGGGAAUAUGGAGUUCGGGGCUCUUUGUUAAGGGCUGUCCAGUCCCUGUACGAAUGGAGCAGGAGUCUGGUUCGUAUUGCCGGCAGUAAGUCAGACCUGUUCCCAGUGCAUGUUGGACUCCGGCAGGGCUGCCCUUUGUCACCGGUUCUGUUCAUAAUUUUUAUGGACAGAAUUUCUAGGUGCAGCCAGGGGCCAGAGGGAGUCCUGUUUGGGAACCACAGGAUUUCAUCUCUGCUUUUUGCGGAUGAUGUUGUCCUGUUGGCUUCUUCAAACCAGGACCUUCAGCAUGCACUGGGGCAGUUUGCAGUUGAGUGUGAAGCAGCUGGGAUGAGAAUCAGCACCUUCAAGUCUGAGGCCAUGGUUCUCGACCGGAAAAAGGUGGCUUGCCCUCUCCAGGUUGGUGAAGUCCUGCCUCAAGUGGAGGAGUUUAAGUAUCUCGGGAUCUUGUUCACGAGUGAGGGAAGGAUGAAGCGUGAGAUCGACAGGCGGAUCGGUGCAGCCUCCACAGUGAUGUGGUCGCUUUACCGGUCUGUCAUGGUGAAGAAAGAGCUGAGCCAAAAGGCAAAGCUCUUGAUUUACCAGUCGAUCUAUGUUCCGACUCUCACCUAUGGUCAUGAGCUUUGGGUAAUGACCGAAAAAACAAAAUCGCGGAUACAAGCGGCCGAAAUGAGUUUCCUUCGCAGGGUGGCUGGGUGCUCCCUUAGAUAGGGUGAGAAGCACAAUCACUCGGGAGGAGCUCGGAGUAGAGCCACUGCUCCUCUACAUCGAGAGGAAUCAGGUGAGGUGGCUUGGGCAUCUCUUUCGGAUGCCUCCUGGACACCUCCCUGGGGAGGUGUUCCAGGCAUGUCCCCCUGGGAGGAGGCCCCGGGGAAGACCCAGGACACGCUGGAGGGACUAUGUCUCUCAGCUGGCCUGGGAAUGCCUCGGUGUUCUUCCCGAGGAGCUGGCCGAGGUGUCUGGGGAGAGGGAAGUUUGGGCUUCCAUGCUCAGACUGCUGCCUCCGCGACCCGGUCCCGGAUAAGCGGAUAAAGAUGAGAUGAGUCUAGUCUCAGUACCCCACAGCAACCUCAUAAAUUUGGCCGACCAAAGCAACAUUGGAUUGGGAGUGGAGCGCGCGAGCCAAUGGAAAAGUCCAGGCUGCAGUUCUCACUAUUUGCUAGCAUUCCCUGCGCACAGACAGGUUAGUGGCAUCCAUUAAAUUAGCAAACUCAUUUUUCUGAUAUUUACCUAAAAGCUAAAAACACAGAAAACAGCUACAACUUCGUAAAUGAAGAUAAAAUAUAACAACUACAGACAAAAAGAUCUGAACUUCAGUAAAUGGAGGCGUGAAUUUUUCGACAAGCAUCCUGUCUGUCAGUGUUAGCUAACGGUACUUAUGUCAUCUGCUGCACUAAGGCAUCGUGUUUAGCAGAUAGUUACAACUUUGUACGACAUAAAUCUCAUCUCAUUAUCUCUAGCCACUUUAUCCUGUUCUACAGGGUCGCAGGCAAGCUGGAGCCUAUCCCAGCUGACUACGGGCGAAAGGCGGGGUACACCCUGGAUAAGUCGCCAGGUCAUCACAGGGCUGACACAUAGACAACCAUUCACACUUACAUUCACACCUACCGUCAAUUUAGAGUCACCAGUUAACCUAACCUGCAUGUCUUUGGACUGUGGGGGAAACUGGAGCACCCAGAGGAAACCCAUAGGGAGAACAUGCAAACUCCGCACAGAAAGGCCCUCGCCAGGCACGGGGCUCAAACCCGGACCUUCUUGCUGUGAGGCGACAGCGCUAACCACUACACCACCGUGCCGCCACGACAUAAAUCCUCAUAAAAUAUAAAGUAUGACGGACUGAUAGAAAACAGUGGCGCCAAUUUCUCGAGCUGAAGUCCAUUAAUGUUAACAUUAAACGUAUGAUGAUGCUGUGUGAUGUCACACAUUCUCGCAGCGCAUGCGCAUUCCAUGAUAAUUCAAAUGAAUUUUUUUUAAUUGAUGGGUGUAAUUCAUUCAUUCAUUAUCUCAAGCCGCUUUAUCCUUCUACAGGGUCGCAGGCAAGCUGGAGCCUAUCCCAGCUGACUACGGGCGAAAGGCGGGGUACACCCUGGACAAGUCGCCACGUCAUCACAGGGCUGACACAGACAACCAUUCACACUCACAUUCACACCUACGGUCAAUUUAGAGACACCAGUUAACCUAACCUGCAUGUCUUUGGACUGUGGGGGAAACCAGAGCACCCGGAGGAAACCCACGCGGACACGGGGAGAACAUGCAAACUCCACACAGAAAGGCCCUCGCCGGCCCCGGGGCUCGAACCCAGGACCUUCUUGCUGUGAGGCGACAGCACUAACCACUACACCACUGUGCCGCCCGGGUGUAAUUCAUUUUAGCUUAUUUUUUUGUUGUCUAAAUCAUUAUUGAUGAACUCUCAUAUUGAUGGUGUUUUUAGAAUAGAUGAAAAUGAAAGAUAGUAUUAUAUUAUUAUAAACACUGAAGCAGAGGGAGCUCAGCUCCUGCUGGCCGUACUACCAAGGCAAGGAGGCGGAGCUGAGUUCUGGAGGGUUCCAGCCCAAUUUAAUCUCUAGAUGUAGUAGUUUUUGUUGUGGGGUGUACUCGUUUUUGCACCAUCCUUGUCAUGCUCCGCCCCGGAUAUCCACUCCAGAGAUUACGGAUCUCUCACGCCAGCGCCGAUCUGGAGCAGGAAUUUCCUCUCACCCGUAUUCACUUCCUGGUUUUCACUGCUGUGUAUAAAUAAGCCUUUUUCAGACUCAGGCUACGUUUACAUUAGACCGUAUCUGUCUCGUUUUCUUCGCAGAUGCACUGUCCGUUUACAUUAAACCGCCUGGAAACGCCGGGAAACGGGAAUCCGCCAGCGUCCACGUAUUCAAUCCAGAUCGUGUCAGCUCCGGUGCUGUGUAAACAUUCAGAAUACGCGGAUACGCUGUGCUGAGCUCUAGCUGGCGUCUCAUUGGACAACGUCACUGUGACAUCCACCUUCCUGAUUUGCUGGCGUUGGUCAUGUGACGCGACUGGUGAAAAACGACGCGGACUUCCGCCUUGUAUCACCUUUCAUUAAAGAGUAUAAAAGUAUGAAAAUACUGCAAAUACUGAUGCAAAUACUGCCCAUUGUGUAGUUAUGAUUGUCUUUAGGCUUGCCAUCCUUCCACUUGCAAGUGGUAAGUGAUGUGCGCUGGGAUCACACACACAGCGGCUCAGUCCCGAAUCACAGCUUGUUCACUUCACUCGCGUGCUCUGUGAGCUGCGCAGGGCCGGAGUGCGCACCCUCCAGAGGGCACUCGCUGUUCAGGGCGGAGUGAUUUGGAGCGCAGGAUGCCUGCGGAGCCGAGCGUAUCCGUGUAUUGGUAUUGCUGUGUGCACGCAAAUCAUGUAUUGGUGUUGCUGUGUGCACACUAAUCGUUUUAGAAACGUUAAUCUGAUGAUCCGCUGAUACGGUCUAAUGUAAACAUGGGCUCAGACUUUGCCAGAACGUCUCGUUAUGAUGACACGACACAGAUAUAUACAGAUGCUUCUAAAGACGAAACUGGUAAGACAGGAGCAGCAGUAUUCAUCCCCAGCUACAAUAUAAGUAUUGGGAAAAGGACGUCAGAUCACUUGUCAAUUUUUUCAGCAGAAAUGAUGGCUAUUAUACUGGCCCUGCAGUGGGUGGAGGAGGUGAAGCCUAGUAAAGCAGUUAUUUGCUCAGAUUCUAUGUCUUCCUUAAAUAGUAUCCAGAGUGGAAAAUCUACAUUCCGACAAGAUCUCUUAGAUGAAAUUAACCAUCUCGUAUUUAAGAUAAAUCAACAUAAAACUUUUAUUCGGUUCACAUGGGUUCCAGCUCAUAAGGGGGUUGAGGGUAAUGAGAAAGUGGAUAAAAUGGCCAAAGAGGCCAUCAAGGCAAAUGAGGUUGAGUUAGAAGUCCCAUUAAGCAAGGCAGAAAUUAAAGUAAUAAUUAAAGACAACAUCAACAAAAUGUGGCAGGAGAGAUGGAAUACAGAGGAGAAAGGAAGGCAUCUAUAUAAUUUACAAAAGGAGGUGGUGUUUAGAAGAGGUGGUGAACUGAAACGACAGGAGGAGGUUUGGUUGACGAGGCUGAGGAUAGGACACACAAGUCUAAAUAGUGGGUUGUAUACAAUAGGGAAACAUCAUUCUGGGGCCUGUGCACACUGUGGAGAAGUAGAAAAGGUUGAGCAUGUUCUUAUACACUGUACACAGUAUUCCAGUGAAAGAGAGAAGAUGGGGAGAACAUUAAGAAAAUCUGUAACUAUAGACAACUUAUUAAGUCAGCCAUUCACACAAUCAGCAGUAAUAGCUCUAACACAGUAUUUAAAGGACACUCAAAUAGCAAAUAGAAUUUAGGUUUUUUUUUAACCCUUAGAUGGAUAAGUGGGGUCCAAACGGACCCCAGUGGUAGUUUUGUUGCAAAAUCUUUGUCAUUUUACAUUUAUAUUGUCUAACCUUCCAUGUGUUCCUCAAAUAGGGUGUUUUUGAUAUGGUCUCAUUUGGAUUUGUAUGUAUAGUUUUUUUUUCUUUUAAGUUAUUUUAUAUUUUGUAUCAAUACCCAACUUUUCCAUAAGUGGGGUCAAAACUGACCCCAAGCAUUUUAUAUGGAGUUUCGGUUGAUAUCCCUAAGAACUUUUUAUUUUUGUCACCUCUGGUUGUCAGGAAUACAUUUGUUGCCGAUCAACACAUCUACUGCUUACAUUCUCACCACCCUGAAGAGCAUUUUUACUCAGCAACACACAUCUUACUGUGCUAACAGUAAAGUACGGCUUCCAAACUGCAACCUCAAUGAUGAGAAAACCUUGAAGAAAAAGGGAAGAGGGACAUUUGAUGUCAGAGUGGAGAAGAACCACAACAUUUGUGCUGUGACAUGGUACGACACCCAUCAGGUGACACUUGUGUCAUCCUUUACUGGCCCAGAACCAGUGGAAAAGGUUAAAAGUUGGGACAAAACUGCCAAAACAUUUGUGGAAGUUCAGAGGCCUAACAUCGUGGCGACCUACAACAAAAACAUGGGGGGAGUGGAUUUGCUGGACUCAUUUGCAGCCAAGUACAAGUUUCCUCUCAAGUCCCAUCGUUGGUACAUCUACAUCUUCUGGCACACAAUUAUUCUAGCUGUGAUCAACGCUUGGCUCCUGUACAAACGGGACUGCAAGGCCUGGGCUAUUCCAAAGAAAGAGAUCCUGAUCAGGAGACGGUUUCAGGCCCAGUUGGCAUCCUCCCUUAUCCUGACUGGCACAUCUGUCCCAGUGCCAAAGCGAGGGCGGCCAUCCUCAAGCCCUAUGAGUUCUCCAGCUGCUAGGCCCUCUAAGAGGAGAAAUGCACACCCACCAAGUGAUGUCUGCAAAGACAUGACUGGGCAUUUCCCCAUCAAAGCUGACAGGGGAAGGUGCAGACAGUGUGUUAAAGGCUACACUAACACUGUUUGUAUGAAGUGUGAUGUCCGCCUUUGUUUUUCAGAACAAAGAAACUGCUUUUUGGACUACCAUAGGUAAAGAAGGGAGAUGUAAAAAUGCAUCUUAAGUUUGUUUUCAGAUUUGUACAUACAGCAUUCAUCCAGUGUUUUUAAAGAGUGGAAAUUACUUUUUUUGAAUAAAUUACUUGUCAUAAAACAAUAUAA